GCGCAGGCUUUAUGAGUGCGCUCAGAUGAUGGUGAAACCUUAUGAUUCCUUAUCGGGGAAUAUCAGAAUAUACAUCUGGACACAUUAGCUGGGGGCCCAGUUAGAGAAGACUCGACCUUGUCCGCUUUGGCGCAUUGUAUAAGUCAUAGCUCAAACUAAUUUGAACAUUAAUAAAUAAUUUGGAAAGUGUUAGAGUGCCUUCAUAGAGCCAUCAUAGCGCCUUCAUGGCACCUUCAUAGAGCUUUCGUAACAUCUUCAUAGGGCCUUUAUAACACCUUUGUAGUGCCUUCAUAUUGUCUUCGUAGUGUAAUAACACUUCUCUGGAAAAGAACAACCAUUCAUAGUGCUACUUAAAGAUGUGCUGCUCCUUCCUGACAGUUUUGCUGUUUUUUUGAGAAAGCAUAUCUGGUGUCUUUAAGCUCAUCCACCUGUCACUGUGCUCUUUCAGCAAUUACACAUCUGUCAAGUGUCACCCGGGCUUAGCUCUGACCGACAGGGUUAUGUCAAGCAGUCAGCCAUUACCCAAAUGGUUUAGAGUGGAGGGAUAGUAGGCACAUACUGCGGAAGAGUGAGCAUGGGUCAUUGUAACUGGGAGCUAGGGUUAGGUUAGGAGGGCCAGUGUAACUGGGAGCUAGGGUUAGGUUAGGAGGGCCAGUGUGACUGAGAGCUAGGGUUAUGUUAGGAGGGCCAGUGUGACUGGGAGCUAGGGUUAGGUUAGGAGGGCCAGUGUGACUGGGAGCUAGGGUUGUGUUAGGAGGGCCAGUGUGACUGGGAGCUAGAGUUGUGUUAGGAGGGCCAGUGUGACUGGGAGCUAGGGUUGUGUUAGGAGGGCCAGUGUGACUGGGAGCUAGGGUUGUGUUAGGAGGGCCAGUGUGACUGAGAGCUAGGGUUGUGUUAGGAGGGCCAGUGUGACUGAGAGCUAGGGUUGUGUUAGGAGCGCCAGUGUGACUGAGAGCUAGGGUUGUGUUAGGAGGGCCAGUGUGACUGGGAGCUAGGCUUGUGUUAGGAGCGCCAGUGUGACUGAGAGCUAGGGUUGUGUUAGGAGGGCCAGUGUGACUGGGAGCUAGGCUUGUGUUAGGAGCGCCAGUGUGACUGAGAGCUAGGGUUGUGUUAGGAGCGCCAGUGUGACUGGGAGCUAGGGUUGUGUUAGGAGCGCCAGUGUGACUGAGAGCUAGGGUUGUGUUAGGAGGGCCAGUGUGACUGGGAGCUAGGGUUGU
Molecule: long non-coding RNA, 1217 nt
Filed under: Salmo salar (Atlantic salmon)
Lineage: Eukaryota; Metazoa; Chordata; Actinopteri; Salmoniformes; Salmonidae
Description: lncRNA (ENSSSAG00000094726.1)
Source: RNAcentral